Molecule: non-coding RNA, 109 nt
Filed under: Cystobacter fuscus
Lineage: Bacteria; Pseudomonadati; Myxococcota; Myxococcia; Myxococcales; Archangiaceae
Description: TPP sequence
Rfam family: TPP riboswitch aptamer (THI element)
About the family: Vitamin B(1) in its active form thiamin pyrophosphate (TPP) is an essential coenzyme that is synthesised by coupling of pyrimidine and thiazole moieties in bacteria. The previously detected thiamin-regulatory element, thi box was extended, resulting in a new, highly conserved RNA secondary structure, the THI element, which is widely distributed in eubacteria and also occurs in some archaea. Analysis of operon structures identified a large number of new candidate thiamin-regulated genes, mostly transporters, in various prokaryotic organisms.
Source: RNAcentral
CCGUGUCGCUAGGGGUGCUCCCGUGAGGAGCUGAGAGGGCCGUGUUCGCGGCCGACCCUUGGAACCUGAACCGGUUUGGACCGGCGGAGGGAAGCGGCGGGCUUCCCAU